UGAGGAAUAUUGGUCAAUGGGCGAGAGCCUGAACCAGCCAAGUAGCGUGCGGGAUGAAGGCCCUUGUGGUCGUAAACCGCUUUUAUCAGUGAAUAAAGUGCAUCACGUGUGGUGUCAUUGCAGGUAGCUGAAGAAAAAGGACCGGCUAAUUCCGUGCCAGCAGCCGCGGUAAUACGGAAGGUCCGGGCGUUAUCCGGAAUUAUUGGGUUUAAAGGGAGCGCAGGCGGGAGUAUAAGUCAGCUGUUAAAUAUCAGGGCCCAACUCUGUUAUGCAGUUGAAACUAUAUUUCUUGAGUACGCACAGGGAUGGCGGAAUUCAGGGUGUAGCGGUGAAAUGCUUAGAUAUCCUGAAGAACUCCGAUCGCGAAGGCAGCCAUCCGGAGCGUAACUGACGCUGAGGCUCGAAGGUGCGGGUAUCGAACAGGAUUAGAUACCCUGGUAGUCCGCACGGUAAACGAUGAAUACUCGCAGUUCGGUCAUUAUGGUCGAGUUGUCCAGCGAAAGCGUUAAGUAUUCCACCUGGGGAGUACGCCGGCAACGGUG
This 542-nucleotide ribosomal RNA is filed under the name uncultured bacterium. RNAcentral's name for it is "bacterial SSU rRNA". It matches the Rfam family "Bacterial small subunit ribosomal RNA", at positions 355 to 896 of the family's 1533-position model. The record is from RNAcentral.